Molecule: transfer-messenger RNA, 318 nt
Filed under: human gut metagenome
Description: Alphaproteobacteria transfer-messenger RNA
Rfam family: Alphaproteobacteria transfer-messenger RNA
About the family: Bacterial tmRNA, also known as 10Sa RNA or SsrA, is named for its dual tRNA and mRNA-like properties. Its role is to liberate the mRNA from a stalled ribosome.
Source: RNAcentral
GGAUUGCUUUUAUAAUGAUUGCGCUCCGCUUGUGCGGGGCUAUGAUGCUAAACACCCCGCAGAAUAGGUGUUGCGGACCCGGGGGCGGUACCCGGCGCCUCCACCAUUUCUUUCAUGGGGGCGACACAGGAUUGACGUGCACAAUAAAGACGGGAUUUGCAUCCGGCAUAGUACCACCGUAUCGGGCUGUUUUUAUGAAUGCGAACGAUAAUCGCACUCAGGUUGCUCUCGCCGCGUAAUGCGGUCGGAAAGACCACUUUAAUCCCUUGACCUUGAGCGGUUAAGGUGGGGCGGGGGACUGCCUAGCAACAGAAGUGU